This 497-nucleotide ribosomal RNA is filed under the name uncultured bacterium. Its description in RNAcentral is "partial 16S ribosomal RNA". It matches the Rfam family "Bacterial small subunit ribosomal RNA", at positions 28 to 507 of the family's 1533-position model. The record is from RNAcentral.
GAUGAACGCUGGCGGCGUGCCUAAUACAUGCAAGUCGAGCGAACAGACGAGGAGCUUGCUCCUCUGACGUUAGCGGCGGACGGGUGAGUAACACGUGGAUAACCUACCUAUAAGACUGGGAUAACUUCGGGAAACCGGAGCUAAUACCGGAUAAUAUAUUGAACCGCAUGGUUCAAUAGUGAAAGACGGUUUUGCUGUCACUUAUAGAUGGAUCCGCGCCGCAUUAGCUAGUUGGUAAGGUAACGGCUUACCAAGGCGACGAUGCGUAGCCGACCUGAGAGGAUGAUCGGCCACACUGGAACUGAGACACGGUCCAGACUCCUACGGGAGGCAGCAGUAGGGAAUAUUCCGCAAUGGGCGAAAGCCUGACGGAGCAACGCCGCGUGAGUGAUGAAGGUCUUCGGAUCGUAAAACUCUGUUAUUAGGGAAGAACAAAUGUGUAAGAAACUAUGCACGUCUUGACGGUACCUAAUCAGAAAGCAACGGCUAACUACGUG